Molecule: long non-coding RNA, 2243 nt
Filed under: Ananas comosus (pineapple)
Lineage: Eukaryota; Viridiplantae; Streptophyta; Magnoliopsida; Poales; Bromeliaceae
Description: long non-coding RNA (ACOM_LNC007789)
Source: RNAcentral
UUCCACUUACUAAUAAAGACUGGGUCUCAAACCAAUAAUCUUUCUUUUCAGAAAGAAAUUUUGUGUCCAUAUCUUACUUGUGAAGAUGACGAUAGUUUUAAGAUAAACUUCUAGUUUAUUUCUGUUAAUAAGUGUGCUUUCGCUAUGUUAUUUUAUGGUUCAAAAAUUUACACGUAACUAUGUUGUGAUUUUACUUUUUAUUUUAUUUUUUGUAUCUAUCAUUCAGAAGAACUAAAAAAGAAGGGUCCGGCUACUAUACUAUUAUGAGUACGAUCGCCCUCGUACUCAUAAGUUGUUUUCGAUGAUAGAGCUUCUGAAUCGACGAUCCACACCGUUAAACGUUAUUUACAAUAUUUAAAACUUCUAGAAAUCAAAUUUUAUAAUUUUUCGACAUCAUUUACCUUACGAUCAAGAGAUCACAAAUUUGACAAUUUUUAACGGCCGGUAUAGGAUACUUGCUAGUUUAACGAUGUAAAAAAAUUAAAAUUUAUUGAAUUUUUGAUAAAAAAUUCUAUUCACUACAUAGAUAAAGAUCAACAACUCCGAUCUUGAAUUGAAAGAUCCGAUCAUUCUUUUUUAGGACGUCGUUCGAUUUUGACCGUUCAUUUUAUCCCCACUUGAUGGACUUUAUUAUGAUUUCGAAAAUUUACGAAAUUUAUUUUUUAGAAAUUUCAAAUGCUCUAGAUUAUAUUUAACGGAGUGGAUCGUCGAUUCGGAAGCUUCAUCAUUGAAAAUAACUUAUGAGUACGAGGGCUCCAAUACUCAUAAUAGUAUAGUAGCCAUGACCCUAAAAAUAAUAAUAUAAUAUUUUACCAUCAUAUACUAUACACUUGAUCCCUUGCAAAAAAAUAUUACUUUACUAUGUUUAACAUUAUGUCCUUACAAUAAUACAAAAUAAAACUACGAUUUGUAAAACAUAACUUUUAGGGUGCGUUUGGUUCGCAUUAUGAAAGAUUACUAGGAAUAAAAGAUAUCCGAGAAUCUUAUUCCUAUUCAUCCUAUUACUAAGAAUGUGGAAUUCCUGUGUUUGGUUCGCACGGUAAUAUUAAUUAGCCAUGUUAUUUAAUAUUACAAAAAAUAUACAAUUAAUUAAUUAAUUAAUUUAAUUAAUUUUAGAUAAUGUUACUAAAAGUUUCAACAUCUUUUUAGAAAAAAGGGAGAGAGAGUAUAAGUUAGAGAGAGAGAGCAUAAUUAAAAAAAUAGAAAGAAAAAUAUAGUCGAAAUUAGAGGGAGUGAGAGAGUUGAAAUUUUAGAAAGAGAGAGAGAGAGAAAGCUUAGUUUAGAGAGAGAAAAAAAAGUUGAAUUUUAGAGAGAAAAAUAAGUUUAGAGAGAGAUAUAUAAGGUUAGAGUGUAAAGAAAAAUAAUAUCAAUUAGCCGGCGGGUAGGAAAAAAGAAAGAGAUUAGACAUAUUAUGAUUACCCCAAUCCAUUAAUAUAAGGAUACCCACCCUCCCUUAAGGGAAUGAGAUUAGUACUUUGGGGUAAAUCUUAUUCCCAAGUGAAUCCAAUAUUAUCAACUAGAUUACUUAGUGCGUUUAGCAAAACACCGUCAUAUUUUUUUAUUCCCAUUGGAUUACUAGGAAUCUUUAAAAGAUAGCGCGAACCAAACGCACCCUUAAAUUUACAGGAUGCCAAAGUAACAAAAUAUGUUAUUCAUAAAUUGAUUGUAAUUAACGUAGUCUGUAAAAAUUUUUACUUACAAAUUACCAUUAAAUAAAAUGUUAAAAAAAAUUUAAAUUAUUGCAACUCCAUUGAAGUUUCUUAGAACUUUCGCUAGGUGUGCUUAAUGCUGUGUCAUUUGAUUACUCGGAUGUUGAAAUAUCUUUUUUUAAAGGUGUAUUCUUUGUUAGAUAAUUCAACAUUACUUUUUCUAAAACCACCGUUUCAUAAAGCGUGGUAAUUAAUCUGACUUUUUCAACCUGGUCCAAAAGUCUAAUGUAGAACUUUGGAUGGUCUCAUUUUUUAGUUUUACCUCGCAGCGUUUGGUUAGGGGAUAGGAAUAGGAAUAGGCCCUUAUUCCCUUUAUACCCAAACGUUAAUUUUUUAUCCGAAAAUAGCAGUUCUCGGUUAUUCCCACCAACACCUCUAUUUUUUCUAUAAAACUAUCUAAUAUUUUUCUUAUCUCCGAAAACAACCCAAUUUUCAUCCAAACGUUAUUUUUUUUAUCUCCAUAUUUGUACCUAUUCCUAUAAUAGCUAGUUCUUGUUUAUACCCGAACCAAAUGGUAAAGUAUAAUAAUAAUAU